UUAAGUUCAGCGGGUAUCCCUACCUGAUCCGAGGUCAACCUGUAAAAGUGAUUGGGGGUUUGCGGCAGGAUCGCCUCACGUUCCGAGCGAAAGAAAAACUUACUACGCCGGGGCACGUGGGGCUUUCCGCCAUUGAAUUUCGGAAGGGAGUGCAUCCUGGUACACUCCACUCCCAAUACCAAGCAAAAGGGCUUGAGUGG
RNAcentral lists this unclassified non-coding RNA (200 nucleotides) under Scutellinia sp. RNAcentral describes it as "partial internal transcribed spacer 2". The record is from RNAcentral. Lineage: Eukaryota; Fungi; Ascomycota; Pezizomycetes; Pezizales; Pyronemataceae.